This 357-nucleotide unclassified non-coding RNA is filed under the name soil metagenome. RNAcentral describes it as "partial contains 5.8S ribosomal RNA, internal transcribed spacer 2, and large subunit ribosomal RNA". The stretch from base 1 to 120 matches the Rfam family "5.8S ribosomal RNA", at positions 35 to 154 of the family's 154-position model. The record is from RNAcentral.
GAUGAAGAACGGAGCGAAAUGCGAUAAGUAAUGUGAAUUGCAGAAUUCAGUGAAUCAUCGAAUCUUUGAACGCACAUUGCGCCCGCUGGUAUUCCGGCGGGCAUGCCUGUUCGAGCGUCAUUUCAACCCUCAAGCUCUCCGGAGUUUGGUGUUGGGGCGCCUGGGGCUUUUCGACCUCAGGGCCCUCAAGUCCAUCGGCGGGACCGCCAGGACACUGAGCGCAGUAGUAUUAUUUCGCUCGGUAGGAUCUUCCACGGCGGGUCGAUCUGGCCGCUAAACCCCCCAAUUCUCACCAAAGGUUGACCUCGGAUCAGGUAGGAAUACCCGCUGAACUUAAGCAUAUCAAUAAGCGGAGGA